GCCGUCCUCCCUGGAUCGUCCCGCACCAGUACGUGGAGCUCGACCUCCAGUCCGCCGCUGGCACCUCCCACAACGAGGUGGCGCCGUAGGCUCCGCCCCCACCUGACCCCGUCCGUGACACGUCUGUUGAUGUCACCAUCGUGUCAUUGACCCACCACAUGACCUCCCGCAGAGGGGAGUUUGAUCCCGUGAGCACGCAGACCAGCAGGGGAGGAGAUUCCGGUUGUAGAGACGACGGGACGGACGAUAAAAUCUGAACUGACGGACCAGAACCUGCAGCGGACAAAAUAACAAGAAUAUAUCGUUUCUUCAAUUCUCUCUCGCUUUGCUCACAAUGAGAACUUGAGUCACAGCACGUUGCUCGUUUGUCAACAGGGAACAAUUAUUGUUGGAAACUCAAUCAAGCCGAGACAUAAAACCACCACAGACAAGGAGACUAAAUAACCACAAAGAGACAAGACAACCAAAAGGAGACACAAGACAAACAAAAAGAGACACAAAAUAACCACAAAUAGACAUUUUGUUUUAUGCCUUCUCUUGACAAUUGUAACUGGUUCCAGUUGGUAAUCGGCUCAUUUUAUCUUGUAUGUUUCGGAGACGACCUGCUGUCUUGAUAUGACGAUGAUCAUCAUCUCCGUUAUAGUCGGCUCCUUCUUCACCAACGUCGACCAGCAGCUGAGUCCCGCCACUGAAAACCACGGAGAAGGAGACGGCGCGUCUGCCGGGCAGAGAGCAAACGCACCAACAUCUGCAGGAGGAAACGCACCGUGAGGACAAAGCGACGCUCACAGAGCAGCUUCUUCAGUUUCUCACCGCAGCAGGAAGAUGAAGCUCAGAGCCGUAUCCAUCCCAAAGGCCUCUAUCUCCAGCCGUUCAAGCUGCCGAGGAGGAAAUACACUGAAAUGAAAGUAGAAGUUUUAAAUUCUUUGGGUUUUUUUAAGUCCUCACAUCUCACUUAAGUUCAAAUAAAUGUCGUUUUUUUAAUCAUAUGUUUUCAUAAUAUUGAAAAACCAGCAUGAGCUUUAACAGACAAUUUUUACCUAAAACAAGAGUCCAUUUAACAUUGUUUGGAUUCUGAUUUAAAGUCAUCGCAAGGAUCGUUUUUAACGUCGAAUUAAAAGUAUUCGUACCUUUUUCUAAUAGUGGUCCUUGGAGCUGCGGCUGCAGUCAGUCUGAAGUCUGAUGAUCUUUGGGUCUGUAAAACAGAAAUAUGAAAACCGUUGAAGCAGAACACCGACAGCCUCCAGAGGAGGGACGCUGCUCUGGGAUCAGAUCGACCGUUGGUUCGCAGCUGGUGACAGAAAAACAGGACAUCUUCUCACUGUGGUUCCAACUGGCGUCCGAGAUAAGAUCCCCACACCAAAGAAACACAAUCGCUACAACACAUAGUGUUGGUCUGUGUAAAACUAGUAUGAUGAGAAUUGUUGUAACAUUCUUCUUUUGGUUUUUUAAUAUUAUUAUAGCAACAUGAAGAUCUUCUUACUGUCGACAUUGUGUUGAAUGAAUCUUUCUGUUGGAUUUCUCUCCAGGGAUUUGAUCCCAAAUACAACUUGACAAUAAGUGUUAAUAUAUAACUAUAUUGUUGAUGUAGUUUUUUAAAGCACUGAUAUUCCACUAUUGUAGAUAUGAUGUACAUGCGUGUUAGUGACGUAAAAAAGAGCAGGUUGUCUCCGGAUGAAACGGCGCCCCCUGUUUGUAACGCUAGCAUCAUUAAAGUUGACAUCGCUGCCCAGCUGCGACGCACACAGGACCGCGACAGUGAAAGUACAACAGACUGAAGAUCCAUCCGACUCGGAUGAAACCGCAUGGCGUCGUUUCUUCUUCUUCUACUCUCCUCCCCGGGUCACGGGGUCACGGCGCAGUAAUAAACUGCCGAGUCGCUCCAUGUGGCGUCGAGCAGCAGCAGCGAGCCGUCGGCUCCAGCGGAGACCUUCCCCGGGCCCACGGCGGCGCCGUACUUCACGUCGGAGGCGUUUGUGGACCUGAAGGCCAGCAGCAGCUCCGGGCGGCGUCCUGCCGCUGUCCGGUACCAGCUGAGGGUGGAGGAGGCGUUGGUGGAGG
Long non-coding RNA from Gasterosteus aculeatus aculeatus (three-spined stickleback), 2061 nucleotides. The record is from Ensembl. NCBI's taxonomy places the organism in Eukaryota, Metazoa, Chordata, Actinopteri, Perciformes, Gasterosteidae.